GAAAAGACAAUAAAAAGGACGAGUAACCUCGUUAGGCAUGUCAAGUGAGUUGGGGCAGAGUGCGAACCCGAUGAUGCUGCGAGCUGAAAAACACCUUUUUGUUUCUAACUGAAUCAAUAGUAGGAUUAGACGUGGCCGGUACGUUACAACUGGAAAGUAUGCAAUGUACUUUUGAGUAGACUUCGCAAGAAGUAAUGUGGGUGGUACCGCGGAAAUGACCUUUCGUCCCUAUU
RNAcentral lists this non-coding RNA (233 nucleotides) under Lactobacillus selangorensis. RNAcentral's name for it is "T-box sequence". It matches the Rfam family "T-box leader". From Rfam's summary of the family: Uncharged tRNA acts as the effector for transcription antitermination of genes in the T-box leader family. T-boxes are found upstream of many aminoacyl-tRNA synthetase genes and some amino acid biosynthetic genes usually in Gram-positive bacteria. The anticodon of a specific tRNA base pairs to a specifier sequence within the T-box motif, and the NCCA acceptor tail of the tRNA base pairs to a conserved bulge in the T-box antiterminator hairpin. Lineage: Bacteria; Bacillati; Bacillota; Bacilli; Lactobacillales; Lactobacillaceae. The record is from RNAcentral.